CUGCUCUUUUUCCAAUCUAAUGUUGCAGAGCAACUGUUGAUGGGGCUGAAAGACAAAGAGACAAUAGUGCGGUGGUCUUCUGCCAAGGGGAUUGGAAGAGUGACCGGUAGACUUCCUAAAGAGCUUGCAGAUGAAGUGGUUGAAUCUGUGUUGGAGUGCUUCAGUUUCCAGGAAACAGAUAAUGCCUGGCAUGGUGGCUGCCUGGCUCUUGCAGAGCUGGGCCGGAGAGAGGACUGCUGCUUCCUUCACGUCUGUC
Molecule: non-coding RNA, 256 nt
Organism: Misgurnus anguillicaudatus (oriental weatherfish)
Lineage: Eukaryota; Metazoa; Chordata; Actinopteri; Cypriniformes; Cobitidae
Source: RefSeq, a predicted model, not a curated record